RNAcentral lists this ribosomal RNA (279 nucleotides) under uncultured bacterium. RNAcentral describes it as "partial 16S ribosomal RNA". It matches the Rfam family "Bacterial small subunit ribosomal RNA", at positions 506 to 784 of the family's 1533-position model. The record is from RNAcentral.
UGCCAGCCGCCGCGGUAAUACGGAGGGGGUUAGCGUUGUUCGGAAUUACUGGGCGUAAAGCGCGCGUAGGCGGAUUGGAAAGUUGGGGGUGAAAUCCCGGGGCUCAACCUAGGAACUGCAUCCAAAACUAACUCACUAGAGUACGAUAGAGGGAGGUAGAAUUCAUAGUGUAGCGGUGGAAUGCGUAGAUAUUAUGAAGAAUACCAGUGGCGAAGGCGGCCUCCUGGAUCUGUACUGACACUGAGGUGCGAAAGCGUGGGUAGCGAACAGGAUUAGAUA